Long non-coding RNA from Bombyx mori (domestic silkworm), 1402 nucleotides. RefSeq lists it as uncharacterized. The transcript is spliced from 2 exons. The record is from RefSeq and is a predicted model, not a curated record. Lineage: Eukaryota; Metazoa; Arthropoda; Insecta; Lepidoptera; Bombycidae.
UCAUAAAAAAAAAAAAAAAAAUGCAUUACCUGGUUUCAAUAGUAUAUAAAAUUAGCUUAAACGCCUAUAAGGCCACCACGUUUGACGCCGAAAGCUUAAUGCAUAUCAAUGUUCUUGAACUGAGUUUAUGAAGACCAAGUAUAACGACAAUUUUUACGCUUCAUCUAACAUAGCCGAUUGGAACAAUUAAUUUCAUUAUGAUAUGUAGGUACUAUGAAAGCAACAUAAUAUAUUCAAGCACAGCGAUAUUAUCGAUUGAUUGAUAGACCCGAUGCAAUUGCACUCUGAAUAACAAGUAGGUUUCAUACGUCUCAAUCGCAGACGUUGUGAUGCGAAAUCACGUGUCCACUGUCUGGUGUGUCAUUAACAUAAUUUUCACAUACGACAUUUAGUUUUAGUAUAUGCGGCUCGCCUUCUUGUUUAUAUAUUUUUUCCUUCAGCUGCAAGGAUAUAUCGCUCGCAAAUGAAGAUACUACCGGACUAAUCGGAUUUGCGACCCGCUGAGAAGAUCCGGCGAGAAACUCAGCGAACUAAUAGAUGGGUCAACCGAUGUCAAGCGAUUGCUAGAGGCUAUCUAUAAUUUGAAUACAGCCACUAAACUGUGAGACUAUGGCAACAAUAUUAAAAUAACGGCUUCCCUACACUCAAAUUGGGCCUCAUGAUCAAAAUAGGCUGAAAAAGCGGCUGUUUUGUCAACUACAAUAAAGUUUAGAAAUAGGCCAUAUACCUGACCGUGAAAGUGGAAAUUUUUGCAAGAAAAAUAUGAUAACAACUAGGUUGCCUGUCGCGGAGCAGUAAGAAGGCGUUUUGGCUUAAAGAAUAAACUGCUCACCAUCAUAUUGUCUUCGAAGCAAAUAACAAAAUGAAAUACAUACAUAAGAAUGAACUAAUACUGGCCCAGUUAACGGGAUUGCACCAUAAUAUUCAUUUGAUGUAUUAUAUUUUAUUUUAUUAUUAUCAUUUGAGGAAAACAAAUAUUGGUUUUCACAACUAUUUUCAUUGAUAAAAAACACCAAAUCUCAGCAAUGGUCAUUAAAUAAAAGAAAAUGAAAAUUGGUAGACAAACAGUAGAGAAAAUGGUAUUUAACUGUUUUUUGUCUUUGCCUAUUUAUUUAUAGAUAUUGCACUCAUAAAUCUGUUACUAAGUUAUGUAUUAUUUUUAUUUGUCAGCCCUGUUGAGCGGCAGUGCAGACGCCCACUCCCUGACACAGUGGGCGGACCUGUGCUCCGCUUUUCAACUUAUGGCUUCACCAUUCUUGCAUUGUGUAUCUUGGGAAGAUACCUCCAAUAGAAUAAGGUGUUUAUUACUUUGUAAAUUACUAUGUCUUUUCAUUAAUAAUUUAAAAGUUCGAAGUAAAUGGGCAUCUCACUGGCUGAUUAUUAUGAUGCUGAAACGGCAGAA